Papaver somniferum (opium poppy) is the source of this 355-nucleotide long non-coding RNA. RefSeq lists it as uncharacterized. The transcript is spliced from 3 exons. The record is from RefSeq and is a predicted model, not a curated record. Lineage: Eukaryota; Viridiplantae; Streptophyta; Magnoliopsida; Ranunculales; Papaveraceae.
CCUCUUUUUCUCUCCCUGUUAAGAGAUUCGUUUGAAAUUUCGAUAAUUCAUCUGCAGGCUUGAUCAUUUGCUCGACAUAUUCUUGAAUAACCAGAACGAGAUCGUAUUCCAAGCAACAAAAUGAAUUUAGAUAUAGUGCUUAAGUUCCCACAUGAAGAGGUCACAUUAUGCGUAUGCCGAUACUCACCAAAGGCUGCAUUUACUGACCUAAAAAAGUGUCAGGGAGACAAAUGUGAUUCCUGGCUCCACAAAACGUGUUAUCCACGCAACUACUGCCCAUAUUGUUAUCUCGACAUGAUGGAUGGUCCAUUUUGCGAGCACACUGAAGCUCUACUACCACCAACUGUACUUACUA